AACACAUCUUGUGCUCCUUGGUAUUCCUUGGAGUAUGCCUGUUUGAGUAUCAAGAGAAAAACUCAAAGUCAAUUCCUUUAAAUUUGGAUUUUGCUUUGGACUGGGAGGUUCUUGCAGAUUUCAACAUCUGCUCCUCUUAAAUGCAUUAGCUGGAUCUCAGUGUUAUGCUUGGUCCCACUCAGCGUGAUAAUUAUCACUCGCUGAGGACACUGUAAAAGGUGGCCAGGAAAAUGCUGAUCGAACCACUUCUAAUGGUUUAUUAAGUUAGACAAUUAGCCCCUUAAGUUUGAUCACAAAUCAGGCAGGACUACCUGCUGAACUUAA
This 324-nucleotide unclassified non-coding RNA is filed under the name uncultured fungus. RNAcentral describes it as "partial contains 5.8S ribosomal RNA, internal transcribed spacer 2, and large subunit ribosomal RNA". The record is from RNAcentral. Lineage: Eukaryota; Fungi.